UACGUAGGGGGCGAGCGUUGUCCGGAUUCAUUGGGCGUAAAGAGCACGCAGGCGGUUUGGCAAGUCGGACGUGAAAAUCCGGGGCUCAACCCCGGACCUGCAUCCGAAACUGCCCGACUAGAGGUAGGUAGGGGAGAUCGGAAUUCCUGGUGUAGCGGUGAAAUGCGCAGAUAUCAGGAGGAACACCGGUGGCGAAGGCGGAUCUCUGGGCCUUACCUGACGCUCAGGUGCGAAAGCUAGGGGAGCGAACAGG
Molecule: ribosomal RNA, 253 nt
Filed under: uncultured bacterium
Lineage: Bacteria
Description: partial 16S ribosomal RNA
Rfam family: Bacterial small subunit ribosomal RNA
Source: RNAcentral